This 472-nucleotide ribosomal RNA is filed under the name uncultured bacterium. RNAcentral's name for it is "partial 16S ribosomal RNA". It matches the Rfam family "Bacterial small subunit ribosomal RNA", at positions 28 to 507 of the family's 1533-position model. The record is from RNAcentral.
GAUGAACGCUGGCGGCGUGCCUAACACACGCAAGUCGAACGCUGAAGCUUGGUGCUUGCACUGGGUGGAUUAGCGGCGAACGGGUGAGUAAUACGUGAGUAACCUGCCCUUGAUUCUGGGAUAAGCCUGGGAAACAGGGUCUAAUACUGGCUAUGACAUGCUACUGCUUGGUGGUGUGUGGAAAGGGUUGUUGUGGUAUUGGAUGGGCUCACGGCCUAUUAGCUUGUUGGUGGGGUAAUGGCCUACCAAGGCGACGACUGAUAGCCGGCCUGAGAGGGUGAACAGCGACAAGAGGACUGAGGGACGGAGCAGACGGGAACGGUGGGCAACGGGCGGGAGUAUUGCACAAUGGGCGCGAGUGUGUGAAGAAGGCGCUGGGUUAGGAAAGACCGCCUUUUGGGUAUGAACAUCUUUCAGCACAGAAGAAGCGAGAGUGACGGUACGUGAAGAAUAAGCGCCGGCUAACUACGUG